Molecule: long non-coding RNA, 474 nt
Organism: Macadamia integrifolia
Lineage: Eukaryota; Viridiplantae; Streptophyta; Magnoliopsida; Proteales; Proteaceae
Exons: 3
Source: RefSeq, a predicted model, not a curated record
CAAAGAGAAGGAGAAAGAGAAAGAAGAAGAAGGAGAAGGAGAGCAAGGGAGAAGGAAGAAGGGAGGGGCAAGGGUUUCCUACUAAGUUAGGAGUAGAACCAAGUGGUGAUGAGGCAAUGCGGCACGAGGCCAUCGGCUGUCCAUCAUCACCUAGGACUCGAGAUGUGGAUUCAGGGAAUCAUUUCAGAGACUGUGGUUGAGGAGUCGACCCUCUAUGGAGGUGACCUUUGGAAUAAGGAGCUGGUCGUGCAUGAGGACGGUUGUGUAUGUGAUGAUUGUGUUUUCAAAGCACACUGAGGAUGAGAGUAACAUCUUCCCUUUUUAUUUUUGUUUACAUAUAAGAUAUAACCCUAGGGGCAUAACUGUAAUUAAAAUUCACUACGAAACAUUUUGGUAAAUAUGGCAAAUAUUAUUAGACUUCACCAGUUGUGUAUAUUUGACUAUUAUUAUUAUCUUGUGAUCGUAGAAUCAUUU